This is a long non-coding RNA of Alosa sapidissima (American shad), 111 nucleotides long. RefSeq lists it as uncharacterized. Lineage: Eukaryota; Metazoa; Chordata; Actinopteri; Clupeiformes; Clupeidae. The transcript has 3 exons. The record is from RefSeq and is a predicted model, not a curated record.
AGCUGCCUUCUCUAUGUGCAUGCCACACAACUGAUCUGCAAAAACUCGCUUUCUAUGAGGGUGUGUUGUGGGCAUCUGUGUGUGUGUGUGGUGGGCAUGUGCGUGUGUGUG